Molecule: ribosomal RNA, 375 nt
Filed under: uncultured organism
Description: partial 16S ribosomal RNA
Rfam family: Bacterial small subunit ribosomal RNA
Source: RNAcentral
GUAGGUGGCAAGCGUUGUCCGGAAUUAUUGGGCGUAAAGCGCGCGCAGGUGGGUUCUUUAAGUCUGAUGUGAAAGCCCCCGGGCUCAACCGGGGAGGGUCAUUGGAAACUGGGGGAACUUGAGUGCAGGAGAGGAAAGUGGAAUUCCACGUGUAGCGGUGAAAUGCGUAGAUAUGUGGAGGAACACCAGUGGCGAAGGCGACUUUCUGGCCUGUAACUGACACUGAGGCGCGAAAGCGUGGGGAGCAAACAGGAUUAGAUACCCUGGUAGUCCACGCCGUAAACGAUGAGUGCUAAGUGUUGGGGGGGUUUCCGCCCCUCAGUGCUGCAGCUAACGCAUUAAGCACUCCGCCUGGGGAGUACGGCCGCAAGACUG